RNAcentral lists this transfer RNA (84 nucleotides) under Armatimonadota bacterium. RNAcentral describes it as "Armatimonadetes bacterium (hot springs metagenome) tRNA-Ser". It matches the Rfam family "tRNA". Rfam says of the family: Transfer RNA (tRNA) molecules are approximately 80 nucleotides in length. The record is from RNAcentral. Lineage: Bacteria; Bacillati; Armatimonadota.
GGUGCCGUUGCGUUUUAUCGGAGCGGUCUUGAAAACCGUCGUGGUGAUGAGCCACCGUGGGUUCGAAUCCCACCCCCUCCGCCA